UACAGAGGGGGCAAGCGUUAUUCGGAAUUAUUGGGCGUAAAGGGCGCGUAGGCGGCCUGGCAAGUGGAUGGUGAAAUCCCUCGGCUUAACCGAGGAACUGCCAUCCAGACUGCUUGGCUUGAGACCGGGAGAGGUGAGUGGAAUUCCCAGUGUAGCGGUGAAAUGCGUAGAUAUUGGGAAGAACACCGGUGGCGAAGGCGGCGACCUGGUCCGUGACUGACGCUGAGGCGCGAAAGCGUGGGGAGCAAACAGG
This 253-nucleotide ribosomal RNA is filed under the name uncultured bacterium. RNAcentral describes it as "partial 16S ribosomal RNA". It matches the Rfam family "Bacterial small subunit ribosomal RNA", at positions 524 to 776 of the family's 1533-position model. The record is from RNAcentral.